UACGUAGGGGCGAGCGUUGUCCGGAAUGACUGGGCGUAAAGGGCGCGUAGACGGCUUUUUAAGUCUGGAGUGAAAGUCCUGCUUUCAAGGUGGGAAGUGCUUUGGAGACUGGGGAGCUUGAGUGCGGAAGAGGUAAGUGGAAUUCCCAGUGUAGCGGUGAAAUGCGUAGAGAUUGGGAGGAACACCAGUGGCGAAGGCGACUUACUGGGCCGUAACUGACGUUGAUGCGCGAAAGCGUGGGGAGCGAACAGGAUUAGAUACCCGGGUAGUCCCUGAGCGGGCU
This 283-nucleotide ribosomal RNA is filed under the name uncultured prokaryote. RNAcentral's name for it is "partial 16S ribosomal RNA". It matches the Rfam family "Bacterial small subunit ribosomal RNA", at positions 524 to 817 of the family's 1533-position model. The record is from RNAcentral.